CAAGUCGAACGGGCUGGGGGCAACUCCGGUCAGUGGCGAACGGGUGAGUAAUACAUCGGAACGUACCUCGUAGUGGGGGAUAACUCGGCGAAAGCCGUGCUAAUACCGCAUAUGCUCUACGGAGGAAAGCAGGGGACCGCAAGGCCUUGUGCUAUGGGAGCGGCCGAUGUCCGAUUAGCUAGUUGGUGGGGUAAUGGCCCACCAAGGCGACGAUCGGUAGCUGGUCUGAGAGGAUGAUCAGCCACACUGGGACUGAGACACGGCCCAGACUCCCACGGGAGGCAGCAGUGGGGAAUUUUGGACAAUGGGGGCAACCCUGAUCCAGCCAUGCCGCGUGCGGGAAGAAGGCCUUCGGGUUGUAAACCGCUUUUGGUCGGGAAGAAAAGGCGUCAGCUAAUACCUGGCGUUCUUGACGGUACCGGCAGAAUAAGCACCGGCUAACUACGUGCCAGCAGCCGCGGUAAUACGUAGGGUGCGAGCGUUAAUCGGAAUUACUGGGCGUAAAGCGUGCGCAGGCGGUUCGUUAUGUCCGAUGUGAAAGCCCCGAGCUUAACUUGGGAAUGGCAUUGGAAACUGGCGGGCUGGAGUGCGGCAGAGGGGGGUGGAAUUCCACGUGUAGCAGUGAAAUGCGUAGAGAUGUGGAGGAACACCGAUGGCGAAGGCAGCCCCCUGGGCCGACACUGACGCUCAGGCACGAAAGCGUGGGGAGCAAACAGGAUUAGAUACCCUGGUAGUCCACGCCCUAAACGAUGUCAACUGGGUGUUGGGGAAGCGAUUCCUUGGUACCGUAGCUAACGCGUGAAGUUGACCGCCUGGGGAGUACGGCCGCAAGGUUAAAACUCAAAGGAAUUGACGGGGACCCGCACAAGCGGUGGAUGAUGUGGAUUAAUUCGAUGCACGCG
This 902-nucleotide ribosomal RNA is filed under the name uncultured beta proteobacterium. Its description in RNAcentral is "bacterial SSU rRNA". It matches the Rfam family "Bacterial small subunit ribosomal RNA", at positions 58 to 963 of the family's 1533-position model. The record is from RNAcentral. Lineage: Bacteria; Pseudomonadati; Pseudomonadota; Betaproteobacteria.